Molecule: ribosomal RNA, 477 nt
Filed under: uncultured bacterium
Lineage: Bacteria
Description: partial 16S ribosomal RNA
Rfam family: Bacterial small subunit ribosomal RNA
Source: RNAcentral
AUGAACGCUGGCGGCGUGCUUCACACAUGCCAGUCGAACGGGAAACCUUUUAUUGACGCUUCGGCAGAUUUAGCUGGUUUCUAGUGGCGGACGGGUGAGUAACGCGUGGGUAACCUGCCUUAUACAGGGGGAUAACAACCAGAAAUGGUUGCUAAUACCGCAUAAGCGCACAGGACCGCAUGGUCCGGUGUGAAAAACUCCGGUGGUAUAAGAUGGACCCGCGUUGGAUUAGCUAGUUGGCAGGGUAACGGCCUACCAAGGCGACGAUCCAUAGCCGGCCUGAGAGGGUGAACGGCCACAUUGGGACUGAGACACGGCCCAGACCCCUACGGGAGGCAGCAGUGGGGAAUAUUGCACAAUGGGGGAAACCCUGAUGCAGCGACGCCGCGUGAAGGAAGAAGUAUCUCGGUAUGUAAACUUCUAUCAGCAGGGAAGAUAGUGACGGUACCUGACUAAGAAGCCCCGGCUAACUACGUG